CGAACGAAGCACAGAUGUAGAAUUUCUUCGGAAAGGAAGCGCCUGUGACUGAGUGGCGGACGGGUGAGUAACGCGUGGGCAACCUGCCCCAUACCGGGGGACAACAGCUGGAAACGGCUGCUAAUACCGCAUACGUUUUCGGUGCCGCAUGGCGCCGAAAAGAAAACUCUGGUGGUAUGGGAUGGGCCCGCGUCUGAUUAGCUAGUUGGGAGGGUAACGGCCUACCAAGGCGACGAUCAGUAGCCGGCCUGAGAGGGCGACCGGCCACAUUGGGACUGAGACACGGCCCAGACUCCUGCGGGAGGCAGCAGUGGGGAAUAUUGCACAAUGGGGGAAACCCUGAUGCAGCGACGCCGCGUGAGCGAAGAAGUACCUCGGUAUGUAAAGCUCUAUCAGCAGGGAAGAAAGUGACAGUACCUGACUAAGAAGCCCCGGCUAACUACGUGCCAGCAGCCGCGGUAAUACGUAGGGGGCAAGCGUUAUCCGGAUUCACUGGGCGUAAAGGGAGCGCAGGCGGCGCGGCAAGUCUGAUGUGAAAGCCCGGGGCUCAACCCCGGGUCUGCAUUGGAAACUGUCGAGCUGGAGUGUCGGAGGGGUAAGCGGAAUUCCUA
RNAcentral lists this ribosomal RNA (611 nucleotides) under uncultured bacterium. RNAcentral describes it as "bacterial SSU rRNA". It matches the Rfam family "Bacterial small subunit ribosomal RNA", at positions 45 to 672 of the family's 1533-position model. The record is from RNAcentral.